CGCUGGCGGCGUGCUUAAUACAUGCAAGUCAACUUGACUUAGAUAGCAAUAUCGAAAAGUAGGGUGGCGCACGGGUGCGUAACGCGUAGGUAAUCUGCCCUGAGGUCUGACAUAACCCGUCGAAAGGCGGGCUAACAUCAGAUGAUAUAUAAUCACGACAUCGUGGAAAUAUCAAAUCUUCGGAGCCUUGGGAUGAGCCUGCGUCUGAUUAGGUAGUUGGCGGAGUAAUAGCCCACCAAGCCUACGAUCAGUAGCUGGUCUGAGAGGAUGAUCAGCCACACUGGAACUGAGACACGGUCCAGACUCCUACGGGAGGCAGCAGUAAGGAAUAUUGCUCAAUGGGGGGAAACCCUGAAGCAGCAACGCCGCGUGAAGGAUGAAAUACUUUUGUAUGUAAACUUCUGUAAGAUGGGAAAAAUAUUCUCCUCGGGAGAAUUGAUUGUACCAUCAGAGUAAGCCCCGGCUAACUACGUG
RNAcentral lists this ribosomal RNA (474 nucleotides) under uncultured bacterium. RNAcentral describes it as "bacterial SSU rRNA". It matches the Rfam family "Bacterial small subunit ribosomal RNA", at positions 34 to 507 of the family's 1533-position model. The record is from RNAcentral.